CUCAGGUGGGGGAUUAGAAGCUAAGGUUUCAGCAGGAGACUGAAGGCAAGGGUAUCCCUGGCUCAGCCCAGAGUUGCAGGGGGUGGGAGAGCCCUGCUCCCCUGGCUCAGCAGGGGCGGGCAGGACUCCCAAGCGCCUUCCACCUCUGCCCAGCCAGGGAUGUGUGGGAGCAUCCAGAGGCCAGGGUGCCAGGUCAUCCCCCAGCCGGGUGACACACAGGGAAAGGUGGUAUCACUGUUUUCAGGGGAGCCUACAAAGGGAGGAGCCAGGCCAGGCCUUUCGCAGCAGCAGCAGCUUGUGUCCCCCUGACAAACAUUUUCAAAGCCCAGACUCCGUGCAGACAUGGAGCAAAUAUUCUCUGACCCCUGAGAGGUGCCAAGCGUGUCAUUUCAACUCCCCUCUCCGCAGUUCCAGAGUCAGGUGGGCCCUGGGAGGUCGCUGUGCAGGAUGGGGUCCUCUCCUGCCACCCUGCCCAGACUGCCUGGGGCUCAGCUCCCACCUCUCCUCUAGGCCCUGCAGAGGCUCAACUUUGCAGACAAGCUUUCCUGUAAUUGUCCUUCUGUCAUCACAGCUCUUGACACAGAAACCAGCCAAGGGGCUGUGGAAAGGCAUAGGCAGAAAGGUGAGGUCGCCCUUCCAGGACCCUGUCUGUGGGCGAGACCAUGGGGCCACAGCCCAGUUAAGUCCAGAGACUCGCCAGAAAGAGAUUUGCCCUCCCCCAGCCUGCUCUGACUCACUCCUGCCCUUUGUCCCCAGCCUUCCAGGGAAGUCCCUCCUAAAGCUAACCUAAGUGCCUCCUGUGUAGCAUCAGCUCCUCUGGGGAUGGAACCCAGGGGACAGGCUCCGGUCUCAGGGGGCCUCAGGAACCAGGCUGCGGAGUGGGUAGGCACACCUGGGUGGAGAUGCUGCUGCUGCCUCCCUCCCCUUCCCUCCCUCGUUCUCCACCCAACACCCAGCCCUCCCCUCUCCUUAGCCCCCCACUCAAGCUCUUGGCUGGGAGCCAGCAUUGUUCCCUCCCGGCUCCCACUCCCCUCCUCCUUCCCUCCCUGCCAUCCAGAGGCAGCAGGCCCUGGGCAACGCCCCCCGCCCCCCCCUGCCCACCGGGUCCCUGCUUGCCCAGAGGGAGGGAGGUGGGAGCAGAACUUCGGUUCCAGGUUCUGAUUCCUCAUCAAGCUCCACCAACAGAGAAGGCUGGGAGCUUGGGUUACUUGGGGCCCCUGGUUAUUUUUAAUGCCACCAGCUUACAAGAUAAAUAUACCUCCCCUCCCCCAGCUGCCCCAAGGACUCCCUCCUUCCUCACCAUUCCCCCAGGCUCCUCAGACCCUAGGGGCCUUUCCUUCUUGUCACAUGCUGUCCUGCUGGGUCCCUUCUUGUCUCCCUGGAUUCCCAGCAGGGAGACAACUUGGCCCCCAAAUCCCAUGGAUGAGUUGGGGAGAUGUGCUGGCGCUACCCUGCACCUUCUUGAGAACUGGCACUCUGCAAAGGACUUCCAGGGGAGACUCCCCCUGGGAGGGGAGGCUGGGGCAGGCCUCCCAGAGCCCUGGGAGGAGGCGCUGGACAGGACGCACUCCUGCAGAAAUACUUCUACAUAUACACAUCUGUCCAGAUGGCACAUGGUUUUGCAGUGUUUUGAAGCCCCUUGCUUUUCCAGAAUGAGAACAGCAUGAUGCUCCUGAGGUUCAUGCACAUGGAUGUGAUUCCACAGUUCUAUCAAAUGAACACACCUCACAACCAGAAAACAUUUAAAACGUGACAACACCCCAACUAUUUGGAGCCCUGGGACCUCUUCAGCCCUGCUGAAGUUUAGCUUCUGCAGGGCCUAGACGAGAGGCUGGAGAUGAGCCCCAGGCAGUCCAGGGAGGGUGGCAGGAAAGGACCCCUCCUGCAGGGCUCUGAGGGUCCCCAGGGUGGCAUUGUUCCUGCAGUGGAGGUCGAAGAUGUGCAGUCCCUCCUCCCAGAUGGUGCCUAUGAGCUGGGAGGCCUGGGUGAGGGUGGCUGGGAGGCAGUGGAGGCAAGGACCCAAGUGCCCACCUCCUUCCCUCACUGCUCCACUUCACAGACAUACCCUGAUCUGUGGAGGACCAGGUGCUGGGAACUUGCAAGGGGCAGGCAGAGGUGAGCAAUCUGGUUCAGGGUGGGUACGUAUUACUGUCCCACCUUAAUGAGAAGCUGAGACUCAGAAUUUGGGUGUCUCUCCAGGACUCAAACCCGGGUCUGCCUCUAGAGCCAGUGCUCUCGACAGCCUUGUCCCCUCGCCUGCAGUGGCCUGGGCCCCCAACAGGCCUACUCUGUCAGUGGGGUGCUCGGGUGCAAACUCAGCCCUCAGUCAGGAGGGCAUCCAGGCACUGGCACCGAGUCCUGCGCCCAGGCCUGCGCCCAGGCCUGCGCCCAGGCCUGCGCCCUACCCCAGCUCCUGUCCACCCCCAGCAGCUCUCCUGGUUUUCUCUGCCAGCUUUUCCCAGAGCUGGGCGGACCAGUGGUAGCGGGAGACAGAGACUCCACUUUAAGCAGGGUAGAGGGGCUUGAGUUCCAUGUCAGUCACCUCCUGGUUCCAUGUGGUCUAUAGUAGCCCCCAAGUGAGAUGACAGGAGAAGCAUGAGGGAUGGCAGAGACUAGAGGUCCUUGUUCGUCCCCUCUGACUCAUCCUAUGAGCACCACCAUCCGCUU
RNAcentral lists this long non-coding RNA (2667 nucleotides) under Vulpes vulpes (red fox). Its description in RNAcentral is "lncRNA (ENSVVUG00000006056.1)". Lineage: Eukaryota; Metazoa; Chordata; Mammalia; Carnivora; Canidae. The record is from RNAcentral.